UGCUCUGUUGAACUCUGCCUUUCAACUAUUCUCGAGAAAAUUCCAUCUUUCUAGCAUAUAUUCAGCAAAUAAGGACAUAAUCAGCAGAUCUUCUAAACAGGACAUAAUCUGAAAAGCUAUUACAGCAUAAUCAUUAAAAAUGAGAGUGUGCUAACAUAAUUAGUACAUGUAUGAGAGUUAUAUUUCACGGAUGAGAGUUAUAUAAUAUAACAUAGGAAGAUCCUCUAUCCACACUAAGUUGAGAUGAAUACCAAGUAAUAGAAGUUCACAUGUUCAAGUGAUUGUGAAUAUACUCACUCAAAAUUAUCAUGCAGCGUUCCAAUGUCUGAAGUGCCAGGAAAUCUGUUAACAAAGCACAGAGGUGACUCUGCAGAUCUGCAAGAUUGUAACAGCGAUUGUGAGAAACAGUAUAAGAGAAAUGCUGCUUAACAUAUAUAUAACCACCGGUACAUGCUCUACUUUCCAGUUUGCAACUUUUCAGGAAGAGCAACACUGUAGCCCUGCACAUUGAAUUAUCAAUGAUAGUUUAGUCUUAAUAAGCAUUUUUCCCAAACCUUAAUUAUGUCCUAGUGUUCAAGGGAAAUGCUAAGGUGAAGUCAAACAUGCACAGUUGAAAUUGAGAAGCAUAGGCAGUGUUCUCACGAGUACACUGAACCAUCAGCGACAGUUUGUUUCAAAAUAAGCCAUUCCUCAGACACAUGCAUUGUUGUCCCUCGGGUACGUGCCAUUUAAACACGAAUACGCAAGGCUCCACAGAGAACCCAUACGCUUAGCAAUUGACCGAAAUUUUUGACAAUUUCUAUUAGGAUCUUAUAGGGUCAAAAUGGGGUAUACAAUUCAUAACAAAACUGCUGCCUCCAUAUUCCAGAUCAGGAUAUGGAUACGUGCCAUUUAAACUCAAAUAUGCAAAGCACCACGUACGAACCCAUACUCUUAGCAAUUGGCCGACAAAUUUGACAUUAGUAUUUCUGGCCAAAGAAUACAUCUGAGGGGGAUAAAGUAACGCGUGACAUAUGUAUCGCAGAUCAAAUUCUAACGUUCCAAUAGACUAGAGGAAGAUUUCAGUGCUUCUAAUCACCCCCUUGAAGUUUAUAUUCGUGCUCCAGUAAUCAUCUUGCGAACUCAAAAUUAGAAGGAUGGAUGCUUGGUGAAGUAGGAUUCAGAUGGCCCCUCUAAAGGAAUCGUCCUUCUAUUAUGAUUCACCGUCUUAAAAUUUCAAAUUGAGCUAUUCUCCUUAUCUUUUAGUUUCCUAUUCCAUUGUCUGCUGUAAAGGACCAACAUACAUAAUCCAUCACAGGAUUUUAAAACCCAUUAUUUAUAUUGUCGGUGUACAAAAGUAUGGGCUCUCCUUUGUACCCCUUUACUUGUGCACGGGCAGUCAGAGCCGCACCUGCGGCCACACUUAGCAUGGCAGAGGAGGGAAACCGGAGCACAAGACAACCAAAGCAACGCCAAGACAGAAACACAAAGAGCAGAGGGGCGAGGUGAACUCCCCCGGCAAGGCCCUUGCCGGGGCGGCCUCCACAGCCCCGGCAAGAGUCUUGCCGGGGCAACUUGCCCGACACCAGCAGAGCCGCCACCCUUGAGCCCAAGCGUUCCAACACCAUCAACCACAUUGGAAAAAAGACUCGGGAGGCACCUCCAUGGUGGCAUGCAGAUCUUUGUGAAGACCAGAAGCACACAAGAUCAGAUGAGAAUCAGAAGACGACGAUCCUCGGCAAGAUCCUUGCCGAGGAAACCCACGAGACCCCCGGCAAGACCCUUGCCGGGGAUGACCACGAUGCCGCGGCAAGACCCUUGCUGGGGCCCCGACAAGACUCUUGCCGAAGACAUCCGCGGAGUCGCCGCCCGGCCCGCGCCCGCCAAGAUUCCACCGCCCUUCCCAUACGGCUACCAGCCCACCAACUAGGCGAGCACCUGCGUGGCGACGAGCGGCCUCUAGGCCAACUCAGCAAGCACCUGUGUGGUGGCAUGCAGAUCUUCGUGAAGACCCUACCACCACGCCAGCUCAGCAGCCUGCCAGCCUACAUGGCGCUGCAUGCCUCGCUGGCCUGGACGCGUGUCGGAGCAAGACGGAGCGGCGACGGACGGGACAGGCCUCGUUACCGUCCCCAAUAAAGCAAGGGGACACCUAAGGAGCGCAUUUAAUGCAUUCUGUCCCGUAAUGGCAGGCGAUAAGCUUGUACAUUGUAUACCUUUCCACCUCCUAUGUGCCACUGUGGUAACCCCUUUGUCUAUAAAAGGAGGCCCGCGGCAUACUGAGAGAGGAUUCGGAUCUUUUGGACGAUGCACGCACCGUAGCUAGUUCAAGAGCUCAAGAACACUCAAAUAUACACAAAAAGCAGGACUAGGGUAUUACGCAUCCUCGCGGCCCGAACCUGGGUAAACAAUCCUUGUGCUGGCUUCUAGACCCGCUCUUUGCACAGCCCCGCGCCUGCCAACCGUAGCAAAAAGGAUUCCCAGUGAUCCCGUAGGUGUCGUUUCCCCCGACAUCUUUGGCGCGCCAGGUAGGAGGCGCAAGCUGUGAAAAUCCGGUCUAGCAGUUGGUUUAGCAGUUCUUCGUCGCCAUGGCUCCAAAGAAGAAGACGAUCAUGGCUCGGUUCAUCUGGGGCCGAACGGCCCGUACAAGUGCGGGCGAGCGGCGGGGCGGUCGCGGAUGGGAGCCGAGGCACGGCCCGCGGACACCCACAUCGCUCUGGCAGUCAAAGCCUGGCGAGCGGCGUCGUACGUGCGCGAGACGACAGGCCGCACGCCGCCAGAUCCAGAGACGGAGUCGUGCCCCCCGCAGGCGGCGCGGGGCCCUCCAGGGGUGGCGUCGUGCCACCUACAGGCGGCACGGUGACUUCCAAGACGCCUACGCCGGCGCCCGCAAUGCACUCUUCUCAGGUCGUGCGCGACGAGCAGCGCCACCGGACUAGUGACCCCGGGCGCCGCCGCGGGAAGAGUCCCGUGCGCCAUUCACGGGACGUAGAAGACCAACAUGCACGCCGAGGCGCUGGCGAAAAUGGCGCGCAGCCGCAAGGCCGUGAUAGAGCUCCUUCUAACGUGGUUAGAAGUCGGAGCGUGUCACGGUCCACGCAGCUUUCGCCGCCACCCGCGCCAGCGGAAGCUUUGGCGCGCGCGCAAUUACUCCUCGACUUCCCUCCUGCUGCGGAAAAGCUCGACGAGUGGAGAGCCACCAUCCGGAGCCUCGUCAGCAUCACCAACAAGGACGAGCCGCGACCCGCGGGGCCCUCCGGCCGACGCUCCGUCGAGCCACCGCAUGCCAGUGGUAGAAGGACCGGAGGUGCUGCGCCUAUGGUGCACUCUCCUCCACGCCAGCUUCUGCCGGUGCCGAUCCGUCGAGAUGACGCUUGUGAUAACAUUUUCAUAGCGUCGUCCGACCCACGGACCCACCGCGAUCAACGCCAAGUUCUCCGAGAGCGAGCCCAUGAAGACGCUCGAACCACCAUCGAGCGGCGGCGCGAAACACGCCAUCAGUCAGAUAGGCAGGCAGGGCCCACUAUGGACCACCCAGCACCGGGGGGCUCUGGUGGCCUACCUUACGAGGUAGGCUGCCCAGCUUUUACCCGUGAGCUGCGGCAGUUCCAGUGGCCCACUCACCGCAUGUUCAAGCCUGAUGUCGGCGAGAAGUACAACGGCAAGACUCACCCGUUAGAGUUCCUCAGCAUCUACACCAUCGCAAUGCAAGCUGCUGGGGCUCGCGACGACAAGGUGCUCGCUAAUUACUUCCCGUUUGCACUUAAACCCAAUGUUAUGUCAUGGUUGAUGCACUUGCCGGCGGAUUCCAUUUCUUCCUGGUCGGAUUUGUGCCAUGAGUUUGUUGGCGCCUUUACUGGAGGCCACCAAGCUCAUGGCCAAGCAAGCGAUUUGCAUGUCAUCCCCCAGAAAGAAGGCGAGAACCUGCGCAAGUACAUACAGAGAUUCAGCCGGGUGCAGUACAACAUCCCAGACGUUCAUCCCGCUGCUGUCAUCAGCGCGUUCCAUCAGAAUGUGCGGAACCGCAAGAUGCGCGAAGAGCUGGCGAUGAACAAGGUCAAAGAUGUGGCGGAACUCUACGUUCUGGCCGAUAGAUGUGCUCCUGCUGAAGAGGGGAGGAAGUACCCCGGCAAGGACACCGGUGCGGAGACCGACUCCACAGACGAAGACACCGCCGCCCCGACGAAAAAGGGCCGGCGCCGCAAUAGGAAGCGCAAGGGCAAGAUUGUGCUUGCCGUUGAGGGAUCCGGCGAGCUCGGCGCCGCCAAAAAGGCCAAGGCUGACGACCCCGGCAAGGAGAUUGCCGGGUGCGCCGCCUGCCGGGCCUUGGCGGCCGCCGACAAGCCAGGAGGCUCCGACAAGCAGUACUGCAAGAUCCACCGCACCAAGGGCCACGACCUCCAGAACUGCCGACAAGUUAAGGUGCUUGCUGAGAAGCAAAAAGCUGAGUAUGAGAGGCGGGACAAGAAGAAGGGUCAGGAUGGUGCCGAGGGGUUCGGCAAGAAGCGUGGCGGCCAAGCAGGUCGCCGUGGCAAAGAUAACCAACAAGAAAGGCCCGCUCGGGGCCGUGACAAGAAAGAGGAGGAUGAUGAUCACGACGAGGACGACGAGUCCGGUGAGCACGAGUUCCAGAAGGCUACAGCGGCUAUGUGCGUCGACGGUGGCGCCUCGUUGCACACCUCACACCGCCAGCUGAAGCAGUGGGCGCGUGAGGUCGCUGCGGCAGAGCCGUCGUUCGAUGCCCAGAAGCCACUGAAGUGGUCCCGCACACCCAUUGUUUUCGACACCGAGGAUCACCCUGACCGCACAACUGCGGUUGGGUGUUUGCCGUUGUUGGUCUCACCAACAAUACACAACCUCAAGGUGACGAAAGUGCUGGUUGACGGUGGGGCCGGUCUCAACCUGAUCUCGCCCGCUGUGAUCAAGAAGCUGCAGAUUCCUGAUGGAGACCUCGAAGAGACGGGCACGUUUCAAGGGGUCAACCCGGGAAGGAGUCAGCCCAAAGGUAAAAUCACGCUGCCCGUUACAUUUGGGGGCGAGCUGAACUAUAGGACGGAGAAGAUCGUCUUCGAUGUCGCCGAGAUCCCCUUGCCAUACAAUGGGAUGCUUGGCCGCCCAGCGCUGGCCAAGUUCAUGGCGGCGUCCCACUACGCCUACAACACGUUGAAGAUGCCGGGGUCGCUGACCAUCAUCACCGUCCCCUCUGACAAGAAAGACGCACUCAUCUGCGCCGACCAACUCUACCGAGAGGCAGUUGCAGCAACUGCCGCCAGGGCACUUGCUCCUGCCGCUGAAGCUCUAGGGAGGAAGAAGGCCAGCAAGACUCCUUCCGGCAAGACCUCUUGCACCCACUCCGGCAAGCGCACCUCUUCGGAGUGUUGUGCUCCCGUUGAGGACGUGCCAGAGAGCUCCACCGGCAAGAGCAAGAAGUCCAAGGCUACACCACCGGAAACCAAGAAGGUGUCCGUCAAGGAGGACGGCACGGGCGGGGCUUUCACUAUAAGCUCCACCCUCGACAGCAAAUAGGAAAGCGUGCUCUCGCCUUCCUGCGGGCGAAUGUCGAUGUAUUUGCAUGGCAAGCAUCCGACAUCCCCGGCGUUCCCAGGGAGGUGAUUGAGCACCAUCUUGCUGUCUGUCCUCACGCGCGGCCCGUCAAGCAGAAGGUCAGGAAGCAAGCUUUGGAGCGGCAAGAGUUCAUCAUUGAAGAGAUCAGGAAGUUGGAGGCGGCAUGCCUGGUAAGAGGAGUACUCCACCCACGUGGUUGGCCAAUCCGGUAGUGGUGCGUAAGGCAAAUGGGAAGUGGAGGCUGUGUAUUGACUACACAGACAUCAAUAAAGCCUGUCCAAAGGAUCCUUUCCCUCUGCCACGCAUCGACCAGAUUGUAGACUCCACUACCGGGUGUGACCUGCUGCCAUUCCUCUAUGCCUAUUCAUGGUACCACCAGAUCUUCAUGUUGAAGGCAGACGAAGAGAAGACCGCGUUCAUCACCCCAUGUGGUACGUACUGUUUUGUACGAAUGCCUUUCGGGUUGAAGAGCGCUGGUUCGACUUUUGCCCGAGCAGUCCAGAUUGGUUUUGAGCCCCAGCUGCAUAGAAAUAUGGAAGCUUAUAUGGAUGACAUAGUGGUCAAAACCAAGGACAGGGCCACGCUCGUGCAAGAUUUAGAAGAGACAUUCGCAAACCUGCGCAAGAUAAACCUCAAGCUCAACCCAGAGAAGUGCGUGUUCGGUGUCCCCUCCGGCAAACUUUUCGGGUUCUUUGUGUCUCAACGCGGAAUCGAAGCAAAUCCUGACAAGAUCAAAGCGAUUGAGCAGAUUGAGGCACCGAAACGGGUCAAGGACGUUCGUAAGCUCGCCGGUUGUGUUGCUGCCCUGAGUAGGUCCAUCUCCAAAUCUGCUGAGCGCGCCCUCCCCUUUUUCAAAGUUUUUAAAAAGGAGGGUCAAGUAAAAUGGACUCCGGAGGCAGAGGCAGCAAUGCAAGAUUUGAAGAGGUACCUCUCCUCCAUGCCAAUACUAGUCACGCCUAAACCACAAGAGCCGUUGUUGCUGUACUUAGCAGCAACGAAUCAAGUGGUCAGUGCUGCGUUGGUGGCGCAGAGGGAACCUGAGGGAGAAGCAGCAGCUGCAGCAGAGCCGACGGAUGGCGUGCCGGGGGCUUCCCCGGCAGAGCCUGAUGCCGGCAAACCAGAAUCCCCGGCAAGGCCCGAACCCGACGAGGCAGAGCUUGAGCGGAUGGGCGAAGUGGGACAGAAGAAGAAGAUGGUGCAGCAUCCGGUGUAUUUUGUCAGUUCCCUCUUGCAGGGGGCUAGGUCAAGAUAUUCUGGAAUGCAGAAGCUGCUUUUCGGCCUUCUCAUGGCCUCGAGAAAGCUGCGCCACUAUUUCCAAGCGCACGAGAUCACCGUCGUCACCCACCUCCCUUUGCAACGGAUUUUGCACAACCCAGAUGCGACAGGGAGGAUUGUGGAGUGGGCACUGGAGCUGUCAAGCUUUGGCCUCAGAUUUGAAAGUACUUCAACAAUCAAGAGCCGAGCUUUGGCGGAGUUCAUAGCAGAGUGGACCGCAACGCCCGACGAGGAGAUCCAAGAGACCACCCUUCUCGGCAAGGAGAUGAGCAGUGAGUGGAUUAUGUACUUUGACGGAGCUUUCUCACUCCAAGGCGCUGGUGCUGGCGUGCUACUCGUCGCACCCACCGGAGAGCACCUCAAGUACGUAAUCCAGAUGCACUUCCCCCGGGAAAAAUCAACGAACAAUACGGCGGAGUACGAGGGGUUGCUUGCCGGUCUUAGGAUCGCGGCAGACCUCGGAAUCAAGAAGCUCAUCAUCAGAGGUGAUUCGCAGCUCGUCGCCAAGCAAGUCAACAAAUAUUACCAGAGCCCGUUGAUGGAGGCCUACGUGAAUGAAGUGAGGAAGUUGGAAGAACGUUUCGACGGCCUACAGGCAGAACAUGUUCCCCGAGCGGAGAACAGCAUUGCCGACGACCUGUCGAAACGCGCUGCCCUCAAGUUGCCUGUGGAACCAGGUACCUUUGUACUUCAGUUAGUACAACCAUCCGUAGAACCAUCAGCAGGGCAGAACAAGAGAAGGAAGAUAAGCCCCGGCAAGUACCUUCCCGCUGAGCUCCCAGGAGCCGCCGGCAAGGAGGUUGCCGGGUACCCCGAGCUUGCCGAGGGGCAACUAUUUCCGACGGGGCCCCAGGCCCUGACCGUAGAGACAGCUCCCCCUGCGGCCGGAGAUGUGCCUUUGGUCCUUGCCGUCGAGCCUCAGGCUCCGGCAUGGGCACAACAUACCGUUCAAUUCCUCCAAACAGGGGAGCUUCCUGAGGAACAGGAAGAAGCGGAGAAAGUAGCCCGUCGGUCUGCCAUGUAUCAGUUCAUUGACAAUGUUCUAUACAGAAAAAGGCCGAAUGGUGUGAAAUUGAAGUGCAUUCCCCGAGAGGAAGGACUGGAGCUGUUGGCAGAGAUACACGGAGGCAUAUGUGGCUCCCACAUAGGGUCGAGGGCCCUUGCCGGCAAGGCAUUCCAGCAAGGUUUCUUCUGGCCCACUGCCCUCCAGGAUGCAACGGCACUAGUAACCAAGUGUGAAGCGUGUCAGUUCCAUUUGAAGAAGCUUCAUCAACCAGCCCAAGCCCUUCAAACAAUCCCUCUCUCCUGGCCAUUUUCGGUCUGGGGGCUCGACAUACUGGGCCCCUUCCCCCGUGUUGUCGGGGGCUUUGAGUACUUGUACGUCGCCAUCGACAAGUUCACAAAGUGGCCCGAAGUGGAAGCAGUGAGGAAGGUGACAGCACAGUCAGCCAUCAAGUUCUUCAAGGGGCUAGUUUGCCGUUUUGGUGUGCCGAACAAGGUCAUCAUCAACAACGGCACGCAGUUCACAAGCCGCACCUUCAUGCAAUACAUUCAGGACCUCGGUAGCAAGGUUUGUUUCGCUUCAGUGGCCCACCCAUGGAGCAACGGCCAGGCGGAGAGGGCGAAUGCUGAAGUACUGCGAGGCCUAAGGACAAGGACUUUUGACAGGCUGCGCAAGUAUGGAAGGCGUUGGAUUGAUGAGUUGCCGGUGGUUCUUUGGUCGAUCAAAACGACGCCAAAUCGAGCCACCGGCCAGACACCCUUUGCCCUGGUGUACGGGGCAGAAGCAGUUUUCCCCACGGGACUCAUAUACGGGUCACCUCGAGUGCUCGCUUAUGAUGAGCUUGAGCAAGAGCAGCUGCGGCAAGAUGACGCGACGCUCCUUGAGAAAUAUCGUCUUCGGGCGGCUGUGCGAGCUGCACGCUACCAGCAAGCCUUGCGCCGCUACCAUAGCCGCAAGGUUCGUGCCCGAAGUCUUGAGGAAGGCGACCUUGUUCUUCGGCGCGUUCAGUCGGCCAAGAAUUCCAACAAGUUGACGCCAAGGUGGGAAGGCCCUUAUCGGGUAAUACGAGUCACCAGGCCUGGCGCAGUCCGCCUGGAGACCGAAGAUGGUAUCCCAGUGAGCAACUCCUGAAACAUCGAACAUCUUCGUAAGUUUUACCGAUGAGGCGCCUCCCGGUAAGCCACCUUUUGUACAAGCCUUGCCGACAAGGCAUGUAACCCUCUGUACAAAGCCAGGCGCAGACCCUGAGCAUAAAUAAAUGAAGCGCUGGCGCCCUAAGUUUUAGCAUGCAUGCUAGGUUGAGUCUCUCCCCCUGUUAGGGUUGAUAGUGCUUAGCGGCGACUAACCCCUAGCACAGAGGUCGAGUAUGCAUCUCUCUGUUCCUUUCCGUCCUCUUUGGUUCACAGGGUGCAUGGACAUUUCUGCUGAGCUAUUUGAAAGAAAGAGAACAAGCCGACGCUCCAACCCCGGCAAGCCAAGGUUGCCGGGGGCUGCGGACCCAGGAUCCGACCACAGCAAGCCAAGGUUGUCGGGGGCUGCAGAUUCAGAUAAGUCCUUUAUCCCCUGUUGUGCAUUUUAGUAUGGAACUGGGACAUAUGAAGCCUCGUUUUAUUCCUAGGCCACCAUGCUCCCCUUUCCUGUGCCCAAGAACUACUUCCUGGGCCGGAACUUGGUUGUAGUUGCGGUGACAAGGAAGCAAACGAAGGGCCUAACCCUACUUCGCCCCAGCCUCCGUCGAGAGCGUGAGUAUGGUUGUAAGUGAAGUGAGGGGACGGCAAGGCCUGUUGCCGGGCGACAAUGUUUAUCUUAAAAAUAACAAGGAUUCAUUCCUUGGCAUGGGACUCGCUCACGCACGAAUAACCCGGCAAGCACCCUUUUUCAUUAAUACGUCCCAAACAGGUACAACCCGUAUGGAAUGCAAACAUGAGCAAGGGGAUUACAAGUUUUAAAUCUAACAAGCGCCCGCAGGCUUAAAAACUAAAAAAAGAUAAUUGCCCCGUAAUCCCCGUUCUUGCCCUUUCCUCCCAGGUGCAGCAGAUGAAGGCAAAAAGGGGGCGACGAGGAACGCGCCGAUGGAGAGCUUGACGAGGAAGACCCUCGGCAGGGCGCAUGACCGAGGGAGGAGGGCGGCGCGGUCAGUCGGAGUCGGCAUCCUCCCGCCUGACGCCCUCGUCGUCGCUGUCGCUGUCCUCCUCGUCACUCUCGCUUGAGGAGGAGUCUUCAUCAUCGGAGGAGCUCUCCACGCGGCACUUUAGGCGAGUCCCCAAGUCCCCAAAGACCUUGACGGAGAGCAGGCCGUUCUCCAUUAAUUUGAAGUAGAGAACGAGCCCCCCCCCCCCGACAGGCUGUGGGCACGAGCGAAGGUCUUCCAUCCGCGACGAAGGUACAUGACGUGAGGGGCGGGGAAGUCGACAUCGACCCGCGUGCUACCAUUCCCGCAGCCCCUCAUAUGCAACCUCAGAGCCUGUGGCGGAUCGAGCUCCAUCUCCCAAGCGAACGGAGUAGGGAGACGAAGACGACGGCGCACUGGCCGGUGCAGCCUGAUGAAGAACUCGCGGGGCUGGUCUCCAACGUGGCCCUCCAUUGGGGGAGGGGCUGCUGGCGGAGGCGAGGCCGGUGCGCCGCCCCGUCCUCCUCUUCCCCGAGCACCACGGCGACCUCGGCCUCGCCCCCUCCCCCUUCCUCUCACGGCCGGCUCCGCCACCAUGAGCUCUUGGGAGGGAGGAGCGCGCUGUCGAGCAGAGACCCUCGUCGCCGCCAUCAGAGUGCCUGCGCGCCCUCUCACCAUAGCGGAAGAAAUGAAGGGGUCAAGGUGGGAGGAGAUGAAUGAUGAAAGGUUGAGGGGUGCCAUUCCCCUCCCUUUCUUAUAAAGGGGCGGGGCCGGGGCCCGGCUGCCCCACUUAACCAAUCCGGUCACCAGGGUCGCGGAGAAUCGAGACCGACCCGCUGCUCCAAUCAGCGACGACCGGUUCCCCGCCUCGUCAUUUAAGGCCCGUGCCCCCCGCGUCCACCGCCUACCAUCUUCGAGGCAUGGCGGACACGUGGCGAGCAAGCCGAAAUAAAGGAGACGAGUGAGGCGACCGUUUUCCACCCCGUGAUCGUGGGGCACGGGCGCUUUGAAAGCCACGACUCAAGUUUACUUAGUAAAUGAGCCGCGCCCCUGCGUUUUUCUCUUUUUUAUGGGGAAGGCGUGGCCGCCUCUUUACCAUUUACCACGACGUGACGCAUGCGUGACGGAACCGCCCCACGCAUGACCACCACGUCACGCGCGACCCCCACGUCACGCGCGACCCCCACGUCGCGCAUUCAGCGCGGGUCGUGGGGAAGCGCAGCGGACGGAAAAGUUACUGCAGUAAAACUCUGCCCCGCCUGCCCGCGCACCGUUCUGGGCCUAGCCCAACAACGUGUUGCGCUUAUGUGUGGCUCAGGCCUGGGGGCUCCUGUCGGUGUAUCAAAGGAGGGCUCUCCUUUGUACCCCUUUACUUGUGCACGGGCAGUCAGAGCCGCACCUGCGGCCACACUUAGCAGGGCAGAGGAGAGAAGCCGGAGCACAAGACAACCAAAGCAACGCCAAGACAGAAACACAAAGAGCAGAGGGGCGAGGUGAACUCCCCCGGCAAGGCCCUGGCCGGGGCGGCCUCCACAGCCCCAGCAAGAGUCUUGCCGGGGCAACUUGCCCGACACUAGCAGAGCCGCCACCCUUGAGCCCAAGCGUUCCAACACCAUCAACCACAUCGGAACCAAGGCUCGGGAGGCACCUUCAUGGUGGCAUGCAGAUCUUGUGAAGACCAAAAGCACACAAGAUCAGAUGAGAAUCAGAAGACGACGAUCCUCGGCAAGAUCCUUGCCGAGGAAACCCACGAGACCCCCGGCAAGACCCUUGCCGGGGAUGACCACGAUGCCGCAGCAAGACCCUUGCCGGGGCCCCGGCAAGACUCUUGCCGAAGACAUCCGCGGAGUCGCCGCCCGGCCCGCGCGUGCCAAGAUUCCACCGCCGUUCCCAUACAGCUGCCAGCACACCAACUAGGCGAGCACCUGCGUGGCGACGGGCGGCCUCUAGGCCAACUCAGCAAGCACCUGUGUGGUGGCAUGCAGAUCUUCGUGAAGACCCAACCACCACGCCAGCUCAGCAGCCUGCCAGCCUACAUGGCGCUGCAUGCCUCGUUGGCCUGGACGCGUGUCGGAGCAAGACGGAGCGGCGACGGACGGGACGGGCCUCGUUACCGUCCCCAAUAAAGCAAGGGGACACCUAAGGAGCGCAUUUAAUGCGUUCUGUCCCGUAAUGGCAGCCAAUAAGCUUGUACACUGUAUACCUUUCCACCUCCUGUGUGCCACUGUGGCAACCCCUUUGUCUAUAAAAGGAGGCCCGCGGCAUACUGAGAGAGGAUUCGGAUCUUUUGGACGAUGCACGCACCGUAGCUAGUUCAAGAGCUCAAGAACACUCAAAUAUACACAAAAAGCAGGACUAGGGUAUUACGCAUCCUCGCAGCCCGAACCUGGGUAAACGAUCCUUAUGCUGGCUUCUAGACCCGUUCUUUGCACAGCCCCGCGCCCGCCAACCGUAGCAAAAGGGAUUCCGAGUGAUCCCGUAGGUGCCGUUUCCCCCGUCAUUAUAUACUCCUCCAUUCCAUAAUUUGAACUAAAACCGUCCUUCUAUUAUGACAAGAAUUAUGGAAUAGAGGGAGCAGCGCUGUAAUGAAUAGCUUAGAGAGUAGGAUUUAACUCACUGGCUACCUGAUCCGUUAAUUAUUUUGAUGUUCAAACCAGAAAGUUGUAGCUUCCAAUGAGACAUCGUUCGCCACUCUCUGAAAUGUAAACACAAUAUGCUGGUUUGAAAUCCUAAACUUCCAACGGGAAAAAAAAGAUUUGCAAAAUAUCUUAGCUUUAGGAAUGCACAAACAUAAACUGGUUCAUAUAGUAUAGAACUAUGGGAAGUGCAUUAUCCAAAACCGAACGGUAAAGAUACAAUAUUAAAAUGGGCACUCAAACCUAAUUCCUUUCAUCUGUCUACAUAACCAAGCAAACAACAACAACAACAACGAAAACUAGCAAAUACCAAAAAAUUCAGAAGAGCCGCCGCACGACCAAGCCGCCAAUCCAUCUGGGCGCUUGCCUCUGUUCCCUUCUCUGUUGUUUCUCAUGCUCUUCAGAUCGAGCCGCAGCCGCGCCACCCGGUCUGCGUCAAUCUGCCCUCCUCUCCACCUAGCUCCCCGCCCUGUCGAUCCCCGGGUGCAGUGCGGCAGCGCAUCACGGCGGCGGCCAGAGAGUGUCUUUUCCCAGUUCAUCAUCCCCGUUUGUUUGUUUGUUCGGCUCAUGGGCCGGCCCACAUCGCCAUGCCCCUCAUCAGAAAAGAAAAGGAAAAACCUAGCCCUAAAUAGGGCUGGACCGGACAGAAAGAC
RNAcentral lists this long non-coding RNA (13221 nucleotides) under Triticum aestivum (bread wheat). RNAcentral's name for it is "long non-coding RNA (TAES_LNC013391)". Lineage: Eukaryota; Viridiplantae; Streptophyta; Magnoliopsida; Poales; Poaceae. The record is from RNAcentral.